GGAGGGGUGCCAGAGUGGUUGAAUGGGGCGGUCUCGAAAACCGUUGUGCGCGUAAGUGUACCGAGGGUUCGAAUCCCUCUCCCUCCGCCA
RNAcentral lists this transfer RNA (90 nucleotides) under Candidatus Paracaedimonas acanthamoebae. RNAcentral describes it as "tRNA-Ser (CGA) (tRNA-Ser-CGA-1-1)". It matches the Rfam family "tRNA". Rfam says of the family: Transfer RNA (tRNA) molecules are approximately 80 nucleotides in length. RNAcentral also lists the same sequence under 2 other names. Lineage: Bacteria; Pseudomonadati; Pseudomonadota; Alphaproteobacteria; Holosporales; Caedimonadaceae. The record is from RNAcentral.